RNAcentral lists this ribosomal RNA (497 nucleotides) under uncultured bacterium. RNAcentral describes it as "partial 16S ribosomal RNA". It matches the Rfam family "Bacterial small subunit ribosomal RNA", at positions 28 to 507 of the family's 1533-position model. The record is from RNAcentral.
GAUGAACGCUGGCGGCGUGCCUAAUACAUGCAAGUCGAGCGAACGGACGAGAAGCUUGCUUCUCUGAUGUUAGCGGCGGUCGGGUGAGUAACACGUGGAUAACCUACCUAUAAGACUGGGAUAACUUCGGGAAACCGGAGCUAAUACCGGAUGAUAUUUUGAACCGCAUGGUUCAAAAGUGAAAGACGGUCUUGCUGUCACUUAUAGAUGGAUCCGCGCUGCAUUAGCUAGUUGGUAAGGUAACGGCUUACCAAGGCAACGAUGCAUAGCCGACCUGAGAGGGUGAUCGGCCACACUGGAACUGAGACACGGUCCAGACUCCUACGGGAGGCAGCAGUAGGGAAUCUUCCGCAAUGGGCGAAAGCCUGACGGAGCAACGCCGCGUGAGUGAUGAAGGUCUUCGGAUCGUAAAACUCUGUUAUUAGGGAAGAACAUAUGUGUAAGUAACUGUGCACAUCUUGACGGUACCUAAUCAGAAAGCCACGGCUAACUACGUG